UUAAAAAUAAGCUAAAAAUAAGCUUUUGGGCUCAUACCUCAAAUAUAAAGGAUUAACCUUUUUUUUAAA
RNAcentral lists this transfer RNA (69 nucleotides) under Dolbina tancrei. RNAcentral describes it as "tRNA-Met". RNAcentral also lists the same sequence under 1 other name. The record is from RNAcentral. Lineage: Eukaryota; Metazoa; Arthropoda; Insecta; Lepidoptera; Sphingidae.